RNAcentral lists this non-coding RNA (116 nucleotides) under Chlorocebus sabaeus (green monkey). The record is from Rfam by way of RNAcentral. Lineage: Eukaryota; Metazoa; Chordata; Mammalia; Primates; Cercopithecidae.
GCUGGGCGCGGUGGCUCACGCCUGUAAUCCAGCACUUUGGGAGGCCGAGGCAGGUGGAUUACCUGAGGUCAGGAGUUCAGAACCAGCCUGGCCAACAUGGUGAAACCCUGUCUCUA